UAGACCUUUAAUUAAAUCCAGAGAGAUUUUCAAGGUCGUUUGAAGAUAAACGUGUAUUAAUUCUGCACGUCUACCUCUUUACGACCAAAAAUCGUAAAGAGGUUUUUUUAU
Non-coding RNA from Ornithinibacillus halophilus, 111 nucleotides. NCBI's taxonomy places the organism in Bacteria, Bacillati, Bacillota, Bacilli, Caryophanales, Bacillaceae. The record is from Rfam.